AGCGAACGCUGGCGGCAGGCUUAACACAUGCAAGUCGAGCGGGCAUAGCAAUAUGUCAGCGGCAGACGGGUGAGUAACGCGUGGGAACGUACCUUUUGGUUCGGAACAACUGAGGGAAACUUCAGCUAAUACCGGAUAAGCCCUUACGGGGAAAGAUUUAUCGCCGAAAGAUCGGCCCGCGUCUGAUUAGCUAGUUGGUGAGGUAAUGGCUCACCAAGGCGACGAUCAGUAGCUGGUCUGAGAGGAUGAUCAGCCACAUUGGGACUGAGACACGGCCCAAACUCCUACGGGAGGCAGCAGUGGGGAAUAUUGGACAAUGGGCGCAAGCCUGAUCCAGCCAUGCCGCGUGAGUGAUGAAGGCCCUAGGGUUGUAAAGCUCUUUUGCGCGGGAAGAUAAUGACGGUACCGCAAGAAUAAGCCCCGGCUAACUUCGUGCCAGCAGCCGCAGUAA
This 451-nucleotide ribosomal RNA is filed under the name uncultured bacterium. RNAcentral's name for it is "partial 16S ribosomal RNA". It matches the Rfam family "Bacterial small subunit ribosomal RNA", at positions 29 to 523 of the family's 1533-position model. The record is from RNAcentral.